GCAAAGAAAAAGGACUAAUGAUACCUCACUUUAGUGCUGAACCAGUUUGGAUAUUUUUUAAAGAAUGAUAAUAGGAAUAUAAUGAAAACAAUGAGGAGAAUGCCAAGGGGAAAAUAUAAAUGUACCGAUUUUGCUGCAAGUAUCAUUCAAGAUGACAACUCAACCAAGCGCUUAUCCCAAAAAUUCAAGAUGACAACAUAAAGGUAAAAAUAUCUGCCACUACAAAUUUCAUUAACCUUAUCUACAAAAAUAUCAAUAUGAAACUCAAGAUUAUUUAGAACAUAAUACAAUCCAAAUUGAGAGAAAGUAUGAUCACCUGCAUGUUAUGAAACAGACAAAAAUGAUGAAGAAUUUCCAUGUUAACUAGAGCAACCCCUUAAAAAUUAAAUGCAAGAUUAUGAUGUCUUUCAACUAAUUGCUGGAUUUGGAAACAACUAGUAACUAAUAUGCAUUCUGAUGUUUAUAUUGAAAAAUAUGAUAAUGAUAAUAACCAGUAAUAUAUGCAAUUAUUUCAUUUUGAAAAAACUAUGUGAUACAGAAAAAAUUGAAUAUUUUUCCAAUAAAAUAACAUUUUGAAGGAGAAUUUUUAAAAUAAAGUCAAUAGAAAGAUUGGAUUACACUAGAAAUGCAUGCAAAGGAGAAUUCAAAAAUUCAUCAGAAAAAUCCAACUGGACAACCUUACAAACAAAUACUAAUUCGAAUAAAACAAGAUCCAGCUCCUAAGUCACUAUUUUGUA
RNAcentral lists this unclassified non-coding RNA (737 nucleotides) under Hevea brasiliensis (rubber tree). The record is from RNAcentral. Lineage: Eukaryota; Viridiplantae; Streptophyta; Magnoliopsida; Malpighiales; Euphorbiaceae.